RNAcentral lists this long non-coding RNA (1546 nucleotides) under Mytilus galloprovincialis (Mediterranean mussel). The record is from RNAcentral. Lineage: Eukaryota; Metazoa; Mollusca; Bivalvia; Mytilida; Mytilidae.
GGGGCGGAUCCAGGAUUUUGUAAAGGGGGGGCGAAGAUUAUAAAUGUCGCCGAGCGAAGCGAGGCGAAAAAUUUUUGGGACCUUUUUUCGGCUAAAAAACAUAAAAUAAGUGUAAUAUGCACAAUUUAAACGGUUCCUGGCUUGGGGCAUGUAUAUUUUAUAGUUGCUGUAUUAAAAGUGUAAGGGUUGGACAUUUUUUUAUGGACAUGGACAUUCGAUGAAAUUUACAAUACGACCAACACGAGUUAAAAAAGACAAACAAGCAGUUUUUAUCAAAAUGUUUGAUUGAUAUAUGUUUCACCCAACAUAACUUAGAGAACGGAAGUGAGGGGUUCCAAAUCCCCCAAAGAUUACGAAAGUGUCUGAAAUGACAACGAAUUUAGACUGAUGGUCGACAAAUGGAGACAUAAAGGUCACACCCAGUAGGCAGGUUACAAAGUAUUCAAUAUAUAUAAGUCCGGCGAAACAGACAUUCAAGUCAGACACGCAAACCCCGGCCCCAAAAAAACUACGCCCGUUUUUUUCAUCAUGUUCAUUUCAUGCUAAAUAAUUUUGUUGGAAAUUUUCGUUUUUAAUAGCAAAAAACUGGACAAGACUAUUGUUUUUAAUCCAGAUACGGUUCAGAAUUUUUGUUUAAGGCAAGAAUCAGAGUCAAUUUUUCUCUCUCAAAUAUCUAAGACUGUCUCCUCAAAUCAAAUGGUUCGUACCUGAGACUUGAAAUUCUUAUAGAGCUUAUACUAAAAUUGAGAAUGGAAAUGGGGAAUGUGUCAAAGAGACAACAACCCGACCACAAAAAAACAACAGCAGAAGGUCACGAACAGGUGUUCAAUGUAGCGAGAAAUUUCCGCACCUGGAGGCGUCCUUCAGCUGGUCCCUUAAUAACAAAUAUAGUUCAGUGAUAAUGAACGCCAUACUAAUUUCCAAAUUGUACACAAGAAACUAAAAAUAAAAUAAUACAAGACUUACAAAGUCUAGAGGCUCCUGACUUGGAACAAGCGCAAAAAUGAGGCGGGGUGACAGGGGUUCUUUAUUCAAUUUGUUAUUUAUAAAAUAAGCUGGUGCAUUUGGGGUUAAACAUGUUUUCGUAGGUAAAUAAUAUUGUGGAAUUUCUUUUUCUUGAGGGUGCAAUAGUCUAUAGAGUAUUUACUAUUACUUUCUGUUUGGUGGAAUAGUGAAAUAGAAGUCAAUACGUUCUUGCUCAAUCCUGUGUUGCUUUGAAGGUUUCCUGAUUGUCAUGACAUCCUCAGCCUAAGCAAUGUUUAUUACUGUAAUUUUAAUUUCAAAAUGACCGUCGUGUGCCGUUUUUUCAACGCACUGGUCAACUCCACCAUAGCAAAUCACAUGACUUUGACAAUCAGUAAAUACCACCGAAAAAUAUCUUUAUAUUAAGUAAAGAAUUGUCGUAUAAAAAUUAAAUACUCGGGAAAUGGCAAAGUUCACGAAGUCUAGUCUGAUAAAAUAAUUUUACAAAAAAAAAAAAAAAAAAAGUCCGAGCAAAGGGGGGGCGUACGCCCUCUACGCCCCCCCCUGAAUCCGCCACUGUCAU